MicroRNA precursor from Danaus plexippus plexippus, 83 nucleotides. It matches the Rfam family "mir-46/mir-47/mir-281 microRNA precursor family". From Rfam's summary of the family: The hairpin precursors (represented here) are predicted based on base pairing and cross-species conservation -- their extents are not known. NCBI's taxonomy places the organism in Eukaryota, Metazoa, Arthropoda, Insecta, Lepidoptera, Nymphalidae. The record is from Rfam.
AUAAUCUGUUAAUGAAGAGAGCUAUCCGUCGACAGUAUUGACAUAAACACUGUCAUGGAGUUGCUCUCUUUAUGAACGGAUGC